AGCAGUAGCCGCGGUAAUACGUAGGGUGCGAGCGUUAAUCGGAAUUACUGGGCGUAAAGCGUGCGCAGGCGGUUGUGUAAGACAGGUGUGAAAUCCCCGAGCUUAACCUGGGAACUGCGCUUGUGACUGCACAGCUAGAGUAUGGCAGAGGGGGGUGGAAUUCCACGUGUAGCAGUGAAAUGCGUAGAGAUGUGGAGGAACACCGAUGGCGAAGGCAGCCCCCUGGGCCAAUACUGACGCUCAUGCACGAAAGCGUGGGGAGCAAACAGGAUUAGAGACCCCUGUAGUCCCUGUCUCUUAUAU
This 303-nucleotide ribosomal RNA is filed under the name uncultured bacterium. Its description in RNAcentral is "partial 16S ribosomal RNA". It matches the Rfam family "Bacterial small subunit ribosomal RNA", at positions 507 to 809 of the family's 1533-position model. The record is from RNAcentral.